This 620-nucleotide ribosomal RNA is filed under the name uncultured archaeon. RNAcentral describes it as "bacterial SSU rRNA". It matches the Rfam family "Archaeal small subunit ribosomal RNA", at positions 135 to 767 of the family's 1478-position model. The record is from RNAcentral.
GGAAACUGAGAAUAAUACCCCAUAGAUCUAGAAUGCUGGAAUGCUCCUAGGUCGAAAGCUCCGGCGCCUAAGGAUUGGUCUGCGGCCUAUCAGGUAGUAGUGGGUGUAACGGACCCACUAGCCCAUGACGGGUAUGGGCCUUGGGAGAGGAAGCCCAGAGAUGGACUCUGAGACACGAGUCCAGGCCCUACGGGGCGCAGCAGUCGCGAAAACUUCACAAUGGGGGAAACCCCGAUGAGGGGAUUCCAAGUGCCAGCACACAGUGUUGGCUGUUCUUCUGUCUAAAUAGCAGGAGGAGUAAGGGCCGGGUAAGACGGGUGCCAGUAAUGCCCGCGGCCCGAGUGGUGGUCGAUUUUAUUGAGCCUAAAACGUCCGUAGCCGGCCUGGUAAAUCCUUGGGUAAAUCGGCCAGCUUAACUGUCCGAAUUCCGGGGAGACUGCCAGGCUUGGGACCGGGAGAGGUCAGAGGUACUUCUGGGGUAGGGGUAAAAUCCUGUAAUCCUGGAAGGACCACCGGUGGCGAAGGCGUCUGACUAGAACGGAUCCGACGGUGAGGGACGAAGCCCUGGGGCGCAAACGGGAUUAGAUACCCCGGUAGUCCAGGGUGUAAACGCUGCGGGC